This 69-nucleotide transfer RNA is filed under the name Pyrearinus termitilluminans (Brazilian larval click-beetle). RNAcentral's name for it is "tRNA-Gln". The record is from RNAcentral. Lineage: Eukaryota; Metazoa; Arthropoda; Insecta; Coleoptera; Elateridae.
UGCGUUUAAGUAUAUGAAGUAUACAGGUUUUUGGUACCUAGGGGGAUGGUUUGAGUCCAUCAAAUGCAA